Molecule: unclassified non-coding RNA, 319 nt
Filed under: Hevea brasiliensis (rubber tree)
Lineage: Eukaryota; Viridiplantae; Streptophyta; Magnoliopsida; Malpighiales; Euphorbiaceae
Source: RNAcentral
GGCCACCGAGCGACAGUAGCGACUCUUCCAUAGAUGUUUCAUCACCAGAGUCUCUUGUUCGCCUCAUCCUUAAGAGAUACCCAGAUGUUGCUAGUGAUCUGAGUCAGCUUCUCCAAAUGGUCGACAGUGGUCAGGGUGUUGACAUCAGUGGGAUCCCUGACAUCGGCUUAGUGAAACUCAUGAAGAAGCUUUUCAGGUUGUUAAAGCUUAAAAGAAAUGAAAAUGGAGUUUUCGUGCUAUCAUCAAAAUGUCUUCCUACUUCAGAAGUCAUUGGUUCAACACUAUCCUCCCAUCCAGAAUCAAGAAAGAAUGCAUUUAC